Molecule: unclassified non-coding RNA, 263 nt
Filed under: Ascomycota sp.
Lineage: Eukaryota; Fungi; Ascomycota
Description: partial contains small subunit ribosomal RNA, internal transcribed spacer 1, and 5.8S ribosomal RNA
Rfam family: Eukaryotic small subunit ribosomal RNA (bases 1-47)
Source: RNAcentral
AAAGUCGUAACAAGGUUUCCGUAGGUGAACCUGCGGAAGGAUCAUUACCUGGCCUUGGGCCGCUCGGGGGAGCCAGUCGCUUGCGACGACGCUGCCUUGGGCGCUUAGCCCUUGACUAUCACCUUGACUACGUGCACCUUUUGUUGUUUCCUCGGCAGGUCAUCUGCCGCCAGGAACCCCCUAAACCUUUUUGCAAUAGCAUCUACACUUCUGAAAACAAACCAAAUCAUUUACAACUUUUAACAAUGGAUCUCUUGGUUCUG